ACUUUUUCAGAUGGAAGAAUCUAUGUGGCUCUGAAGGCACCACAAAAGGAGGGGAAAUACAUUUUACUGUAUUGGAAUUUUUUGUUAUAUAGUAAUGUAUGAUAUAUUAAACACUUAUUAUUAUUAAUAUUAUUGUUGUUGUUGUUAUUAAGAUAAGGUCAGAAGGUGUUGACUGGUUUUCUAUAAGAGCAGCUCAGGCAGUAGUUCCGGCUGUGAGGCAAAUCACAGGUUUACAUCAACACACUCGUUCUAUAUUAAUACGUUCGCGUUUCUAUGGUAACAGCUCAUUCACGGGGACUUGUACGGCAGAUGCUCCACAUUUACUUACUAAAAUAAACCUUUGAUAUGUUUAUUUAACAUUUCUGGAAGGAGUCUCCAGCGUGAGCACUUUGUAACCAUCGGAGAAACACACAUCUAUCACAGACACAACACAAUACACACUCCAACAUGGAGACUGAGACACAAACAGUUUGACGCAGUAAAGGUUAGACGGGCGAUCCCGCUGGAACGAUCUUCCCUCAUCACACAAACACAAGGUGACUCACAACAGAUCAUUAGCAUCGGGAGGACAAAAAUAAAAUGUUCCGUUGUAUAACUGCCAGCGUUGAGUUUAUGAUUUAGCCGCUCAUGCUAAUGUUUCUACAGUAUGUACACAAUCUUUUCCAUGUGAUUUACAAACACCUCUAAGGAAAACGUUGAUGUCCCUCAUGGUUUUGUCUCAUUUUCCAUUACAAAAAAAAGGGCUAUGUGCUAAAUCAAACCGAUGCUAACCUCGGGGUAAAAGUCUAGAGUUUAGAGACAAAGGUGAAGUGAAGAAAUCUGUCGUUUCGAAUUUCGAAUUCGAAUAUACUCAUCUCUAAUAAUAAUGAUACCACCAUGAGUGGCUUGUUGCUCGGCAAUAAAGUAAAAACGUUGGUUUCUAUUAAUAGUCAGUAGCAUGCAAGGUAACCUACCUAGUUUUACUUUCAAUUUAAUUUGUACAGCUUGAUAACUUUUUACAGCAAGGAAAACGGGAAAAGAUUUGUGGUUAAGAAAGAACUGAAUUACUUGUUAGCUACAUUUGCAUCGUAGCUCCAGGAGAAAUCUAAAGAAGCAAACUUCAAGCAUCAGACAUGUCUGAUUACAUUUGGGGUCAAAGUUUAAAUUAAAAAAAAUUCACCAAACUAAUCCUGGUGACACAGCGACAAAUCCAAACAAUUGUUUCUCAUCAGAAAUUAAAUGUGUGUGUGUGUGUGUGUGUGUGUGUGUGUGUGUGUGUGUGUGAGAGAGAGAGAGAGAGAGAGAAUGAGAAUUUUUAGAGAACACUAUCCCACAAGGCCCAGGCCACGCCCACAAGCAAGGAAACCGGAGAACCCAGAGGAAACCCAAACGGACACGAGGAGAACAUAUGAAACUUGAACUCAAGAUUGAACCCCGGACCCCGGAGCUGUGAGACGGCAAUGUUUCUCAAUUUCCAGAUUGUUCCGCUUUGCCACGUAGAGCUGCAGCACAUUAAUGAACCAUGAGGCCUCAAACAGAGAACCGUUCAGAUAAACGACACUUGUUCGUGCGCCUUAUAAAUAUUUUACACCGUCAUUAUUAGCUGGACAUGUAAUAACGUCCAGAUACGUUGUAAUGAUUUUUUUCCACUUUAAAUAAUACUGUUGUAAUCACAGCUUUUCAGGAAAUGUUUGGGUUUCUGUCUGCUGAGAAAGAGAGAGAGAGAGAGAGAGAGAGAGAGAGAGAGAAUAAAAAAAGCUGUGACAAAUAGUGUUAACUAGCCAGCUAGCAAUUUGUAAAUAAGGGUAUUAUUAGCAGUUAAGUAACCAGCUAGCUAUUUGUAAAUAAGGGUAUAAUUAGCAGUUAACUAGCCAGCUAGCUAUUUGUAAAUAAAGGUAUUAGUAGCAGUUAAGUAACCAGUUAGCUAUUUGUAAAUAAGGGUAUUAUUAGCAGUUAAGUAACCAGCUAGCUAUUUGUA
This is a long non-coding RNA of Ictalurus furcatus (blue catfish), 1957 nucleotides long. RefSeq lists it as uncharacterized. The transcript has 3 exons. Lineage: Eukaryota; Metazoa; Chordata; Actinopteri; Siluriformes; Ictaluridae. The record is from RefSeq and is a predicted model, not a curated record.